Long non-coding RNA from Salvia miltiorrhiza (redroot sage), 735 nucleotides. RefSeq lists it as uncharacterized. The transcript has 2 exons. The record is from RefSeq and is a predicted model, not a curated record. NCBI's taxonomy places the organism in Eukaryota, Viridiplantae, Streptophyta, Magnoliopsida, Lamiales, Lamiaceae.
GUCCCUUAUUAAUUAGCCCAACAUCAAAAGCCUUUAAAAGUCCAUUCUAAUUAGCCCAACAUCAAAAGUAAUUAAAAGUCCAUUCUAAUUAUCACUUAUAUAAAAUGAAAAAUUGUGCCAGCAACCCUAAUUCCUACUCCAGCGCAGCGCCGCUCUUCUUCUCCAUUCUACUCCAGUACAGCGCCGCCGCCGCAAUCACCAUCUCCACGCCGUCCACCAUCACCAAAAUUUCUUGUCGCUCCGACUCGCCCGGCCUCCUCCGUCCUUGGCGCCUGCAUCAAAAUCUGCGCCACCGAUCUCGCCGACUCGCUCAGUCUAUCUUGUCGCUCCGAUCCGCCCGGCCUCCUCCGUCCUUGACGCUGCGUCAGAAUCUGGCCGCUGGUCUCGCCGAUCCCCGCCUUCUCCGUCCUUGGUGCCCCUGUUAGAAGCAGUUGCAGGAUAAUCGAGGAAGGAGAAUGGUCUGGUGCUGGCGAGGAUUUUGUUUCCGUUUACCGUGUACCGUAUUUCCAUUUCCUACGGUAGCUUUAUGAUUUGGAAGUUUAUUAUAGAGUCAGUCAAGAAAUUUACUCCCAGCUAUAUGUCUUCAUACAUAUAGUUUGUUCACAUUUUGCUGUGAUACUCUGAAUAAUUUGAAGCUUUGUGUAUAUUUAGCUAUGUCCGCUUUGUAAAUGUUUGUGAGUAUCUUGACGCUUUUGCGCUUAUGAAGCCUAUAAUAUUAUAUCGUUAUUGAUAUUA